RNAcentral lists this ribosomal RNA (920 nucleotides) under Acinetobacter sp. J6(2014). RNAcentral's name for it is "bacterial SSU rRNA". It matches the Rfam family "Bacterial small subunit ribosomal RNA", at positions 1 to 919 of the family's 1533-position model. Lineage: Bacteria; Pseudomonadati; Pseudomonadota; Gammaproteobacteria; Moraxellales; Moraxellaceae. The record is from RNAcentral.
AUUAGAGUUUGAUCCUGGCUCAGAUUGAACGCUGGCGGCAGGCUUAACACAUGCAAGUCGAGCGGGGAAGGGUAGCUUGCUACCUGACCUAGCGGCGGACGGGUGAGUAAUGCUUAGGAAUCUGCCUAUUAGUGGGGGACAACAUUCCGAAAGGAAUGCUAAUACCGCAUACGCCCUACGGGGGAAAGCAGGGGAUCUUCGGACCUUGCGCUAAUAGAUGAGCCUAAGUCAGAUUAGCUAGUUGGUGGGGUAAAGGCCUACCAAGGCGACGAUCUGUAGCGGGUCUGAGAGGAUGAUCCGCCACACUGGGACUGAGACACGGCCCAGAUCCUACGGGAGGCAGCAGUGGGGAAUAUUGGACAAUGGGCGAAAGCCUGAUCCAGCCAUGCCGCGUGUGUGAAGAAGGCCUUUUGGUUGUAAAGCACUUUAAGCGAGGAGGAGGCUACCGAGAUUAAUACUCUUGGAUAGUGGACGUUACUCGCAGAAUAAGCACCGGCUAACUCUGUGCCAGCAGCCGCGGUAAUACAUGAGGGUGCGAGCGUUAAUCGGAUUUACUGGGCGUAAAGCGUGCGUAGGCGGCUUUUUAAGUCGGAUGUGAAAUCCCUGAGCUUAACUUAGGAAUUGCAUUCGAUACUGGGAAGCUAGAGUAUGGGAGAGGAUGGUAGAAUUCCAGGUGUAGCGGUGAAAUGCGUAGAGAUCUGGAGGAAUACCGAUGGCGAAGGCAGCCAUCUGGCCUAAUACUGACGCUGAGGUACGAAAGCAUGGGGAGCAAACAGGAUUAGAUACCCUGGUAGUCCAUGCCGUAAACGAUGUCUACUAGCCGUUGGGGCCUUUGAGGCUUUAGUGGCGCAGCUAACGCGAUAAGUAGACCGCCUGGGGAGUACGGUCGCAAGACUAAAACUCAAAGGAAUUGACGGAAU